Molecule: ribosomal RNA, 429 nt
Filed under: Acidobacteriota bacterium
Lineage: Bacteria; Pseudomonadati; Acidobacteriota
Description: Acidobacteria bacterium partial 16S ribosomal RNA
Rfam family: Bacterial small subunit ribosomal RNA
Source: RNAcentral
UGGGGAAUUUUGGACAAUGGGGGAAACCCUGAUCCAGCCAUCCCGCGUGUGCGAUGAAGGCCUUCGGGUUGUAAAGCACUCUUGGCAGGAAAGAAACGUCAUGGGUUAAUACCCCGUGCAACUGACGGUACCUGCAGAAUAAGCACCGGCUAACUACGUGCCAGCAGCCGCGGUAAUACGUAGGGUGCAAGCGUUAAUCGGAAUUACUGGGCGUAAAGCGUGCGCAGGCGGUUCGGAAAGAAAGAUGUGAAAUCCCAGAGCUCAACUUUGGAACUGCAUUUUUAACUACCGGGCUAGAGUGUGUCAGAGGGAGGUGGAAUUCCGCGUGUAGCAGUGAAAUGCGUAGAUAUGCGGAGGAACACCGAUGGCGAAGGCAGCCUCCUGGGAUAACACUGACGCUCAUGCACGAAAGCGUGGGGAGCAAACAGG